This is a long non-coding RNA of Miniopterus natalensis, 1240 nucleotides long. RefSeq lists it as uncharacterized. Lineage: Eukaryota; Metazoa; Chordata; Mammalia; Chiroptera; Miniopteridae. The record is from RefSeq and is a predicted model, not a curated record.
UUCGUCGCUCCUUGAGGAUUGCUUCCCAUUUACCCUCUAAGUCCUAAAAUCCUAUCGCCGUAUCGGCCCACGGCUGGGGUGGAGUUGCCCCGGCAGGCUCGACCCUGUUGGUUUUGCUAGCGGAUGUUGCCUCCGUUCUGGAUCUGGGAGACUCUGUAAAGACUGAAAGCUGAGCUGUCCCGAUGGGGGCCCGAAAGUGGACUUUUUCGCUCGCAAAUGGGUCCGGGAGUACAAUGAGAGAGGAGUAUGUGUGCUGGCUGGGAGCCUUGCAGCCAGAGAGUACCAGCUCUGACCUUGGGCGGUGACCUUUCCCAGACUCAGUUUCUUCAUUACGGAGAGGGGUGAAGGAGGCAAUGGACGGAAGCCCUUUGCGCGGUGCCUGCACAGGCAAACGCUCAAUUUGAGUUCUUGCUGUUGUGACAAGUGUGCAGGUCAAUGCGCAACUGCUGAGCCACACAGGCCAGGCUGGAUUUGUCCGGGCCUUAACAACAGCAUUGGACUGAAGCAGAUAAAUUGAGAGCUUAUAUCCUGUCGCAUGUCUGGUGAAAUUCAAGUUCAUUCUUCAUUGUCACCACUCAAAAUCAAGUGGAGGCUUUGUUUUGGUUUUCUUAUCAAAGACCAAUUCCAAGUUGCCCCUCCCCACACAUUCAGUUCCCCUGUGUCUCAGCUCAGAUGUAUCACUUCAGCACGAGGGAAUGUUGGAAUAAAAACUUCAGCCUCCAAGUGCAGCAUGACACAGACUAGAAUACUGACCAUUUCCCCAGGUCAUCAUUCUCCUUGCAGAUCCUCUACUAGAGCCUGACCCCUGGGACAGAAGAGUUCUGCAGUCAGUCUUCCUCAUUCCACUCGGACAUACCCUGCCUAGGUCAACGGUGCCCUGAUUUCCAUCCCGCGACCUCACUGCCAAGCCUUAUCUGCCCUGAUCCGUGCCUGCUUGCUAGAAAAGUUCUUUUCUGUUUGAACUUUUGUGUUCAAACUGUGCUGACUUUAAUCACCUCACUCCCAAAACAACCAAGUUGGAAAUUCUGGUUUCUAGAUUUUUCUUUGGCUUGUGGAAAGACCAGGUGUUUGGAUUUUGUGCACCACACAAAAGCACACCCCUGAAAGGGUAGGGGAGGCUGAAAUUCAGUCCAUAUUUUAAUAACUAGGCUGAGAGCCUGUGAGUCUGUCUCCCCAAAGGGACACCGUUUUCUGUUUUAACUAAGAUGAUUUAUAAAACAGUGAUAGUGCUGGCCUCUGA